GUACACACCGCCCGUCACACCAUGAGAGUUGGGGAUACCCGAAGCCUGUGAGCUAACUUUUAGAGGCAGCAGUCGAAGGUAGAAUCAAUGAUUGGGGUGAAGUCGUAACAAGGUACC
Molecule: ribosomal RNA, 117 nt
Filed under: uncultured bacterium
Lineage: Bacteria
Description: partial 16S ribosomal RNA
Rfam family: Bacterial small subunit ribosomal RNA
Source: RNAcentral